Molecule: ribosomal RNA, 788 nt
Filed under: uncultured bacterium
Lineage: Bacteria
Description: bacterial SSU rRNA
Rfam family: Bacterial small subunit ribosomal RNA
Source: RNAcentral
AUUGAAGAUUUAUCUGAUUGAAGUUUUAUAACAAUGGCUUUAGUGGCGGACUGGUGAGUAACGCGUGAGCAACCUGCCUGUUAGAGGGGAAUAACAGUGAGAAAUCAUUGCUAAUACCGCAUAUGCCAUAGAUACCACAUGGUAUCAGUGGGAAAGGAGUAAUCCGCUAACAGAUGGGCUCGCGUCUGAUUAGAUAGUUGGUGGGGUAACGGCCUACCAAGUCAACGAUCAGUAGCCGGACUGAGAGGUUGAACGGCCACAUUGGGACUGAGAUACGGCCCAGACUCCUACGGGAGGCAGCAGUCGGGAAUAUUGCGCAAUGGAGGAAACUCUGACGCAGUGACGCCGCGUAUAGGAAGAAGGUCUUCGGAUUGUAAACUAUUGUCGUUAGGGAAGAAAAAGGACAGUACCUAAGGAGGAAGCUCCGGCUAACUACGUGCCAGCAGCCGCGGUAAUACGUAGGGAGCAAGCGUUAUCCGGAUUUAUUGGGUGUAAAGGGUGCGUAGACGGGAUAAUAAGUUAGUUGUGAAAUCCCUCGGCUCAACUGAGGAACUGCAACUAAAACUGUUAUUCUUGAGUGUUGGAGAGGAAAGCGGAAUUCCUAGUGUAGCGGUGAAAUGCGUAGAUAUUAGGAGGAACACCAGUGGCGAAGGCGGCUUUCUGGACAAUAACUGACGUUGAGGCACGAAAGUGUGGGGAGCAAACAGGAUUAGAUACCCUGGUAGUCCACACCGUAAACGAUGAAUACUAGGUGUAGGUUAUGUCAUGUAAUCUGUGCCGUCGCAAAC